This 90-nucleotide transfer RNA is filed under the name Paenibacillus sp. 1182. RNAcentral's name for it is "tRNA-Ser". It matches the Rfam family "tRNA". From Rfam's summary of the family: Transfer RNA (tRNA) molecules are approximately 80 nucleotides in length. Their secondary structure includes four short double-helical elements and three loops (D, anti-codon, and T loops). Further hydrogen bonds mediate the characteristic L-shaped molecular structure. tRNAs have two regions of fundamental functional importance: the anti-codon, which is responsible for specific mRNA codon recognition, and the 3' end, to which the tRNAs corresponding amino acid is attached (by aminoacyl-tRNA synthetases). tRNAs cope with the degeneracy of the genetic code in two manners: having more than one tRNA (with a specific anti-codon) for a particular amino acid; and 'wobble' base-pairing, i.e. permitting non-standard base-pairing at the 3rd anti-codon position. The record is from RNAcentral. Lineage: Bacteria; Bacillati; Bacillota; Bacilli; Caryophanales; Paenibacillaceae.
GGAGUCAUGGCUGAAUGGCUAAAGCACGGUCUUGCUAAGACCGCGAAGGGUUAAAACCCUAUGCAGGUUCGUGUCCUGUUGACUCCGCCA